CCUACGGGAGGCAGCAGUGGGGAAUAUUGCACAAUGGGCGCAAGCCUGAUGCAGCGACGCCGCGUGAGGGAUGACGGCCUUCGGGUUGUAAACCUCUUUCAGUAGGGAAGAAGCGAAAGUGACGGUACCUGCAGAAGAAGCGCCGGCUAACUACGUGCCAGCAGCCGCGGUAAUACGUAGGGCGCAAGCGUUAUCCGGAAUUAUUGGGCGUAAAGAGCUCGUAGGCGGUUUGUCGCGUCUGCCGUGAAAGUCCGGGGCUCAACUCCGGAUCUGCGGUGGGUACGGGCAGACUAGAGUGAUGUAGGGGAGACUGGAAUUCCUGGUGUAGCGGUGAAAUGCGCAGAUAUCAGGAGGAACACCGAUGGCGAAGGCAGGUCUCUGGGCAUUAACUGACGCUGAGGAGCGAAAGCAUGGGGAGCGAACAGGAUUAGAUACCCUGGUAGUCCAUGCCGUAAACGUUGGGCACUAGGUGUGGGGGACAGUUCCACGUUUUCCGCGCCGUAGCUAACGCAUUAAGUGCCCGCCUGGGGAGGACGGCCGCGAGACGUAAACGUACAAUUAGAGUAGUUAGGCGUGAGACGNGCCGACGGACGACGACGAGGGAGGAGG
RNAcentral lists this ribosomal RNA (609 nucleotides) under uncultured bacterium. Its description in RNAcentral is "bacterial SSU rRNA". The stretch from base 1 to 525 matches the Rfam family "Bacterial small subunit ribosomal RNA", at positions 338 to 873 of the family's 1533-position model. The record is from RNAcentral.